AAGUCGUAACAAGGUUUCCGUAGGUGAACCUGCGGAAGGAUCAUUAACAAAUCGGCCGCAAGGCCACGCAAAGCCGCCGGCCUGCGGGCCGGCUGGUGGGACGCGGCUCUCCGGGGCGGUCCCGCGCAUGCAGACAGCAAUGUCUGUGUGUCUGCACACGGUAGUGUGUGCACCUGAACGCGUGUCGUGUUUGUCAGUCAAUGCAUGCCAUAAUAACAACAGACAACUUUUAACAAUGGAUCUCUUGGCUCUU
This 253-nucleotide unclassified non-coding RNA is filed under the name Phylloporus sp. RNAcentral describes it as "partial contains small subunit ribosomal RNA, internal transcribed spacer 1, and 5.8S ribosomal RNA". The stretch from base 1 to 46 matches the Rfam family "Eukaryotic small subunit ribosomal RNA", at positions 1786 to 1831 of the family's 1831-position model. Lineage: Eukaryota; Fungi; Basidiomycota; Agaricomycetes; Boletales; Boletaceae. The record is from RNAcentral.